AUUCUGUAAUAUAUAUACAUAAUACAGAUUCUCAAAAAUCAUCGCCCAAACUAAUUAUAGCUGUUUUUAUUAGCAUCACAUCGCAAUAUUUACUAAAACAAACUUACAAUUCCUGUACCGCACUAUGUACAAAGCGAUAAGAAAAAAGAUAAACAUCUUACGGUGUCUUCGGCCUAAUUAGUUAUUUCAGUAAAAUUAAUGAGCACGGCACUUUAUCAUCAAAGAAUAUGGGAAAGUAUACAUUUUUCAUUAUCGGCUUAAUAAUUAUUUUCGCAAUUUUGCAAGAAUGCGAAUGCAGAAGAAAAAUAUUGAAAGGGCGGAAUACCAUCAAUCGGAAGUAUAUGAGGGCUAGUGCCGUUCCUGGAUGGGUUACAGUUGUAUUAAUCGCAUUGGGGCAAAUAACUUUCGGCGGAUUACUUUACCUACUCUUAAAAGUGUUGAUAUUGAACAAACCGUUAAAGCCACGUUAUAUGCAACCUCCAGAAACGUUUGAAGCAUCCCCUUAAAUUUAGAAAACGACUUUCAAUUUUUUGUUAAUAGUUAUAUUAAUUAAAAUUUUGCAACUCGUACAGAAGUUUUCAUAACGAAUAAAGGUGUACCAUUUUGUUGAGUCAGAGCUGUGACACAUAUUAUUUUCUAAUAAAAAUUUUAUCGUAAAUAAUGAUAGUUUAUCUCGAAGAUAGCCGGAGAUAAGCCUCGAUGCUGUCUCAAUAAGCUUACCCGAUUUGUUAUGUUGUACAAUUUUAACAAAGCCUGGUAAAGAAUACCGCCAAGU
RNA transcript from Cylas formicarius (sweet potato weevil), 775 nucleotides. RefSeq lists it as uncharacterized. NCBI's taxonomy places the organism in Eukaryota, Metazoa, Arthropoda, Insecta, Coleoptera, Brentidae. The record is from RefSeq and is a predicted model, not a curated record. The transcript is spliced from 3 exons.